Molecule: ribosomal RNA, 504 nt
Filed under: uncultured bacterium
Lineage: Bacteria
Description: partial 16S ribosomal RNA
Rfam family: Bacterial small subunit ribosomal RNA
Source: RNAcentral
AUUGAACGCUGGCGGCAGGCCUAACACAUGCAGGUCGAACGGUAGCACAGAGAGCUUGCUCUCGGGUGACGAGUGGCGGACGGGUGAGUAAUGUCUGGGAAACUGCCCGAUGGAGGGGGAUAACUACUGGAAACGGUAGCUAAUACCGCAUAACGUCGCUAGACCAAAGUGGGGGACCUUCGGGCCUCACACCAUCGGAUGUGCCCAGAUGGGCUUAGCCAGUAGGUGGGGUAAUGGCUCACCUAGGCGACGAUCCCUAGCUGGUCUGAGAGGAUGCACAGCGACACGGGAUCUGAGACCAGGUCAGUACGUCUACGUGAGGCAGCAGUGGGGAAGAUUGCACUAUGUGCGCAAGCGUGAUGCAGCCGUGCCGCGUGUAGGAAGAAGGCCUUCGGGUUGUAAAGUACUUUCAGCGGGGAGGAAGGCGGUUGAGUUAAUAACUUCACCGAUUGACGUUACCCGCAGAAGAAGCACCGGCUAACUCCGUGCCAGCCGCCGCCGUAA